RNAcentral lists this transfer RNA (76 nucleotides) under bacterium. RNAcentral describes it as "tRNA-Glu". It matches the Rfam family "tRNA". From Rfam's summary of the family: Transfer RNA (tRNA) molecules are approximately 80 nucleotides in length. RNAcentral also lists the same sequence under 1 other name. The record is from RNAcentral.
GGUCCCAUCGUCUAGUGGUCCAGGACGCCGGCCUCUCACGCCGGUAACACGGGUUCGACUCCCGUUGGGACUACCA